Molecule: ribosomal RNA, 420 nt
Filed under: actinobacterium SCGC AAA028-N08
Lineage: Bacteria; Bacillati; Actinomycetota; Actinomycetes
Description: bacterial SSU rRNA
Rfam family: Bacterial small subunit ribosomal RNA
Source: RNAcentral
GCACCAGUGGGGAAUAUUGGGCAAUGGAGGAAACUCUGACCCAGCGACGCCGCGUGCGGGAUGAAGGCCUUCGGGUUGUAAACCGCUUUCAGUAGGGAAGAAGCGAAAGUGACGGUACCUACAAAAGAAGCACCGGCUAACUAUGUGCCAGCAGCCGCGGUAAUACAUAGGGUGCAAGCGUUGUCCGGAAUUAUUGGGCGUAAAGAGCUCGUAGGUCGUUUGUUACGUCGGAUGUGAAAACCUGAGGCUCAACCUCAGGCCUGCAUUCGAUACGGGCAAACUAGAGUUUGGUAGGGGAGACUGGAAUUCCUGGUGUAGCGGUGGAAUGCGCAGAUAUCAGGAGGAACACCAAUGGCGAAGGCAGGUCUCUGGGCCAAUACUGACACUGAGGAGCGAAAGUCUGGGGAGCGAACAGGAUUA